This 21-nucleotide microRNA is filed under the name Cervus elaphus (red deer). RNAcentral describes it as "PC-5p-167128". The record is from RNAcentral. Lineage: Eukaryota; Metazoa; Chordata; Mammalia; Artiodactyla; Cervidae.
CAACCUGGGCUGGUGAUCUGU